This 77-nucleotide transfer RNA is filed under the name Clostridiales bacterium CHKCI006. RNAcentral describes it as "tRNA-Met". It matches the Rfam family "tRNA". Rfam says of the family: Transfer RNA (tRNA) molecules are approximately 80 nucleotides in length. Their secondary structure includes four short double-helical elements and three loops (D, anti-codon, and T loops). Further hydrogen bonds mediate the characteristic L-shaped molecular structure. tRNAs have two regions of fundamental functional importance: the anti-codon, which is responsible for specific mRNA codon recognition, and the 3' end, to which the tRNAs corresponding amino acid is attached (by aminoacyl-tRNA synthetases). tRNAs cope with the degeneracy of the genetic code in two manners: having more than one tRNA (with a specific anti-codon) for a particular amino acid; and 'wobble' base-pairing, i.e. permitting non-standard base-pairing at the 3rd anti-codon position. Lineage: Bacteria; Bacillati; Bacillota; Clostridia; Eubacteriales. The record is from RNAcentral.
CGCGGGAUGGAGCAGUCUGGUAGCUCGUCGGGCUCAUAACCCGAAGGUCGUUGGUUCGAAUCCUUCUCCCGCAACCA